This 1244-nucleotide ribosomal RNA is filed under the name metagenome. RNAcentral describes it as "bacterial LSU rRNA". It matches the Rfam family "Bacterial large subunit ribosomal RNA", at positions 1564 to 2816 of the family's 2925-position model. The record is from RNAcentral.
UGAGUACGAGAUGCUACGGCAUCGAAGCAGUCUAUGUCAUACUUCCAAGAAAAGCUUGCAAUGUCAUAAACAAAUAAUGCCUGUACCAUAACCGACACAGGUGGGUAGGUAGAGUAUACUAAGGGGCGCGAGAUAACUCUCUCUAAGGAACUCGGCAAAAUGACUCCGUAACUUCGGGAGAAGGAGUGCCUUAUUUUUAUAAGGUUGCAAUAACAAGAUCCAAGCAACUGUUUACCAAAAACACAGGUCUCCGCUAAGUCGUAAGACGAUGUAUGGGGGCUGACGCCUGCCCAGUGCCAGAAGGUUAAAGAAGUUGGUUAGCAUUAGCGAAGCUGAUAACUGAAGCCCUGGUGAACGGCGGCCGUAACGAUAACGGUCCUAAGGUAGCGAAAUUCCUUGUCGGGUAAGUUCCGACCCGCACGAAAGGCGUAAUGAUUUGGAUACUGUCUCGGAGAGGGGCUCGGUGAAAUAGACUUGUCUGUGAAGAUGCGGACUACCUGCACCUGGACAGAAAGACCCUAUGAAGCUUUACUGUAACUUGAGAUUGAAAUUGGACUUUAUCUGCGCAGUAUAGGUGGGAGACGUUGAAAAUAUUCUUGCGGGAAUAUUGGAGUCAUCAGUGAGAUACCACUCUUAUAAUGUUAGAUUUCUAACCUUGUAUCAUUAUCUGGUCAAAGAACAGUUUCAGGCGGGCAGUUUGACUGGGGCGGUCGCCUCCCAAACGGUAACGGAGGCGCACAAAGGUUUCCUCUGAACGUGUAGAAAUCGUAUCUAGAGUGUAAAGGCAUAAGGAAGCUUGACUGUGAGACCUACAAGUCGAGCAGGGACGAAAGUCGGUCUUAGUGAUCUGACGGUGCUGAGUGGAAAGGCCGUCACUCAACGGAUAAAAGUUACUCUAAGGAUAACAGGCUGAUCUCCCCCAAGAGUUCACAUCGACGGGGAGGUUUGGCACCUCGAUGUCGGCUCAUCGCAUCCUGGGGCGGUAGUACGUCCCAAGGGUUGGGCUGUUCGCCCAUGAAAGCGGUACGCGAGCUGGGUUCAGAACGUCGUGAGACAGUUCGGUCAUAUCCGGUGUAGGCGUUAGAAUAUUGAGAGGAGCCUUCUUUAGUACGAGAGGACCGAGAAGGACUUACCUCUGGUGUACCAGUUAUCGCGCCAACGGUAAACGCUGGGUAGCCAUGUAUGGAGAGGAUAACCGCUGAAAGCAUCUAAGUGGGAAGCCCACCUCAAGAUAAGUAUUCUCU